AGGGCAAUCAGAAAAAAUGCCAUGAAACCAAACAAAUCAGUAAAAGUCAUGGAAACCAUCAGCAAUAUUUAAUUCAGAAAUUCUCUUUGUUAGGGAACUUAGCUGAAAGAAAACAGCUGGAUGUAGUUCAACCCUCUAAAUUAAAAACAAUCUAACAAGGUCUAUAGGGAUAGCUCUUUCAGCUACAUAUUGGAGACCAGAUUCACUUCUACCAAGUAAAUGUAAUAGCACUCAAAGCUAGAAAGGAAAUUCCUCAGAACUGAGGUAGUUUCUAAGUAUCAGCACAUUUUCCAACUCCUCGCAAGGCAACUGAGCUAUUUACAAUCCAUUUUUUCCCACACAUAAAUUUAUAACUUUUUCAGUUUUAUGCUUCCGUGAUUUAUUUUCUAAAGAAAAAAUAGCCAGAAUAUCCCUAACUCCACUAACAUCGUGUUUUAAUAAAUAACGGGCUACUUCUAGCAAAAUUAAGCCUCCAGGAUUGUUUCCAGCGGCCAAGAAUACCUCAUCUUUAUAGCUUUGCAGAAAUUUGGUGUGAAAAUAAAGUUGAAUAUAACGCUGACCCUGAGCUAACAAGUAAUUAAUGCUUCAAUAUAAAAAUAGAACAUUAUCCUUACAACACAAGACUGGAAUACAGCAAACCUUCUCUCUCUCUCUGGACUGUGUUCCUGGCUGGAUCCCAGUGUCCAGCCAGACCUAAAGGCUAUAUCUAAAGCAGGAGACAUGCAGAGGAAUUCUGAGUCUUUCUGAAGACUCUUUUUCACCCCCCUAAACUCUUUAAAUUCUUCUUUCUUUUCUUAAAAACAAACAUUUCUUUUAUUAAUGAACUGCUGUUCACCAUUACGCUGUUACAACCACAAAAGGCAAAGAUAGAGAGAGAUGGGCAUCUCAGGCAGUGUUGGAAAGCUGCUCGCUCAGUGCCCGGGCUCCGGGUCCCAGGUGACCAAAUGCACCAAAAAGGGGCAUUUUCAGCCCAGCCAGCUCCUGCCCCAAUCUGCCUGCAACACUGCAGCUCUGCCUGGCUGGUCCUUCCCUUCUGCACCCAACCAAAGCUGCAAAAACAAAACCAGCAGCCCCCCCUGCUUCACCCUCAGCAAAGUAUUCCUAAAAAUGACAAUGAUAAUAGUCAAUCCAGCGCUCAUCUAACAGAUUUGCAGUCAAGACACACGUUGGCAUUUGGAUCUGUGACACGACAAGUUGCUUCCAACUGAACAAGUUUAAUGCCUUAUUCCCAUGGGGGAUGCAUGUUGGGAACUGACCUACAUGAAGUUACAGCUAAUUGCAAGGAUCCGGGGGAACACAUGAAAACUCUUCUUAGCAUCCACGAAACUGGAAUUCUCCACAGUCUCUUCCAAUGUAACCAAACAUCCCGUAAAGAAAGCACAACCUGCUCCUGGCAUUACCACCUCCUGCAAAUGGGGCACGUGGCACGCUGACCAGCUCUGCCUUCAUCUUCUCUUUCAGCACAUCAUAAAGACAAAUUACUUCCACUUCUUUCCAGAUAAGGCAACUAACAUAAGGCGGAUAAAUGGGAAGUUAACUACAUGAAACACGUUUUCUGCUCGUUUGGUAAUUAUUUUUCCCCACAAGAUAACAUGAUAAAUAAAACCUGCUUCUGUACAGAUAUUCCUCAUUUCAGAAACACAUACUUGUUACAUGCCAAGAGAGGACCGUGGGUUUCUUCUUCUCAUAAGAAAUGUGGUAAAAUAAAAUAAAAUUAAAAAAAAAAAUAAAGAGAAGUGAUAAAGACGAAUGCAGAGCUAACUACAGGCUUGUAUAUACAUUUUUGUUAUCCACCUCUAUCAUGGACUCUUGGUGAACGGGACAGACUGACGGGCCCCAUUCCUGUUAACCCCAGAAUAGCAAGGGGAAAAAAUACCAGUAUCUUAAAACCAGUGGCAACAUAGUAAAAACUGUACACUGUUGUCCAUUAACUUAAAAAGCAAAGUCACUAGAUGGUAUAAAAGUGAAAGCAGGUGCCUUCUAACUUUGAUAAUAAGAGUCUCUUUUUUCUCCCUAUGCUGCACAAUUAUCUCCAUUGUCUUUGCAUGGCCAAGACCAAAACGCUAAGGAACAAGGCUGCUUGUGAUAAACCGCUACUGGGAGCGGCAGAAGUGUUCACUUUUUUAUCACUCUUGUUGGAGCUCCCAGUAACUUCAGUCGCGUUGAACUCGAACUCCGUGGAGCACUGCUGGAACUCACAGCCGCUGCCGCUCUCCUCCCCGCUGCUCUCUUCACUGACGUCAAUGAAGUCGACGUCGUUCCCACUGUAUGCAUUCUUCAGCUUGUUGGUCAUCACCCUCAGAACCAUGAUUUGCCGACGAAUCACCAUGUCUGGCUUGGUAAUAUCGACUUCCACCUCAGGGUUGUUCACUUGACUUGCUAAGCCGUUUCCAGUCACCGCAAAGUCGUACCUGCUCUUGGCGCUCCCGUUCCAGCACUCAUUCUCGUUGCCCGUGCCCACAGAUAUCUUUUCAUCACUGCAAAUGUUGCCAGGGAGAGAUGACCAAAAUUUUUUGGCUUGCUUCAGCUUUUCUUUCACAUCAGUAACCAGCCUGUCCAAGCUCGUGCCUGCAGCUGUGGUCGGCCGCUCUUCGGGGUUGUAGGGUCUGAAGCGAGCACUGAAACCACCCUCAGAGACGGAGCGAGCGGUUCGGCCCUGUGCGAGUGUUUUUGGCUGGCCACAUCCCUGGAAAACCUUCUGAGACACUUGCAUGCUGUUCUCCUGCAUAUUCAUGAUUGCAUCUGAAAUUUUCACAUCAAUGGGGUCCAUGACUGACUCAAUGUUAAAAGGCCCCUCCAGCCUCUCUGCUACCAGCAGCAUCGAACCCAUAAAGAUAUUCCACUCGGCAUCCAAAUCCCCUUGGUUGGCCAAGCAGCCUCUCAUGACGUUAAAGCAGUAAUUGUAACAGGGCUUCACCGAUGUCAGACCUCGACAGUGCGGGCAGUACAUCAUUUUCAGCAGUGCCUGUGUACCCUGUGGUGUAGGGUUCACCGCAGACACUUUGCUGAUGACGUCCCUCGCCACAGCAAGGCCUUGCGCGAAGGUGCGGGCUGCCACAAAUGCUCGAGUCACUUGAAGCUUCAGCUUGCGCGGCACGUCCCCAAAGGGCUUCAGCUGCUCCGUGUACUUGCUGACACACUCAAGGUACUCAUCCGUGAAGUGGUACUGUGGGUUCACCAGCCGGAACAUGCGCUCCAACAGGCGCGCCCAGAAGUCGUUGAGCAUCUCCUCUAGGUUGACAUUGCCACCCACGUAGUACCGCUUCAGCUCCACGAAGAGGUCCUUGAACAGCUCUGAGUUCUGCAUGUACAACCGGCCGUACGUCCGCACAAACAUGUCGUUCAGUGACUUCUCAGCGUUCUCGAGAAGCUCUUUGAAGAACUCAUCAAACUUCUUGUAUCUGGAACUAAACAUCGUUUGCAAGUGAUUGCUAAGCUCUACAACGGCGUUUCUGAAGUCGUGUUUGCUCAGUUGACUGUAUCUCUCUUCCAUUUCUUGAGUGCAGCACGUGUAGGCUUGUGAGCAGACUUUCAAGUGGUCGCCGCUGAUCUCGUGGCUGGGCGCUUCGCUCUGGCUGAAGCCUUUGGCGGCGUAGAGCCUCCGCACUUCGGAGCAACUUUUAGCGCGGGGCUCGGCGGCCAGCAGCAGCGGCAGGCUGAGGGCGGCUAAAGUGCAGACGAGGGGCGGCAGGGAGCAGCGCCGCCGCGGCAUGGUGCGGGCGGGCGGGGGGGCCGCCGGGGCCGCGGCCGGGGCAGCGCGGCCCGAAGCCGGAGCCGGCCCUCCGCCGAGCCCGCGCCGCGCAGGAGCCGCGCCCGCUGCCGUGCACCCCUCUCCGCUCCGCUCCGGCUCCGCUCCGCUGGGCCGUGAGUGCGGCGGCGCUCUGCAAACUUGGCC
RNAcentral lists this long non-coding RNA (3895 nucleotides) under Gallus gallus (chicken). The record is from RNAcentral. Lineage: Eukaryota; Metazoa; Chordata; Aves; Galliformes; Phasianidae.